Molecule: long non-coding RNA, 589 nt
Organism: Triplophysa rosa
Lineage: Eukaryota; Metazoa; Chordata; Actinopteri; Cypriniformes; Nemacheilidae
Exons: 4
Source: RefSeq, a predicted model, not a curated record
GUGUGACAGACACUGGUGAACUUCAGCUCCACUCUGUGUGUAAAAGUUCUUUUCUAAAGGAGAAGAGGAGACCACUACCAAAAGACAGAAGACAUAAUGAUCAGGAUCAGCAUUGAAGACUUGAUGGAACAGGAGCCUGUCGGGAAUAAAUCCAGAACGUGGGUCCAAAGCAGCAAGAAAGGGUGCCAAGCAGUACAACAGACCUGAAUGACUUUCAGAAUCCUUGGAAGAUUUAAAGCCAUAUACUGUAAGUACCAGUUAUGGAGAGAAAGAAGACGAAAGACGUGGAUGUGAUAUUACAACAUAUCCUUAUGGAUGUUCAUCAUUGUUAAAUGUAAUUGUAACUAUAGUAGUUGAAGGUUAAGUGUUUUUAAUUUUUCAUUUGGAUGCCUUUUCAGUGGUUCAGUCCAGGUUUAGGUCUGGAAUUACAUUGCAUCUCAAAGUUGACUGUUGAAGAUGUUCCCAGUUUUCUUGCCAUCUUGGAGUUAUCUUGGUUUCUUGAAAUGUAUUUGUAAUUUGCCCACUUGUCCUUACACAUGCACCUUAAAGUAAAAUUUUAAGCCAAUUUCCAAUGAAGUUGUUUGCUCAA